GGAGCCGGCCGGACGGCCGCAGUCCGCCGCUGGCGGGUUGAGGAAAGUCCGGACUCCACAGGGCAGGACGCUGGGGAAAAUCCCAGGCGGGGCGACCCGCGGCAAGUGCAACAGAAAGUAGACCGCCUCGGCUCGCCGAGGUAAGGGUGAAAGGGUGAGGUAAGAGCUCACCGGCGCGGCGGGUGACCGUCGCGGCCAGGUAAACCCCGUCCGGAGCAAGGCCAAGCAGGAGGUAAGGGUUGCCCGCCCGCUUCGACGAUCGGCAUGCCGGUCGAAGCGCCUCCGGGUAGGCCGCACGAGGCGAACGGCAACGUUCGUCCCAGAUGGAUGGCCGUCGAUUACAGAAUCCGGCUUACAGGCCGGCUCCUCAC
This 371-nucleotide RNase P RNA is filed under the name Actinomycetota bacterium. RNAcentral's name for it is "RNase P RNA component class A". It matches the Rfam family "Bacterial RNase P class A". Rfam says of the family: Ribonuclease P (RNase P) is a ubiquitous endoribonuclease, found in archaea, bacteria and eukarya as well as chloroplasts and mitochondria. Its best characterised activity is the generation of mature 5'-ends of tRNAs by cleaving the 5'-leader elements of precursor-tRNAs. Cellular RNase Ps are ribonucleoproteins. Lineage: Bacteria; Bacillati; Actinomycetota. The record is from RNAcentral.